AUGACCCUUGUCAAAGCGGUGCUCACGGCUGUGGCAAUCUACCAUCUUACACCGCUUGACCUUCCGAUGGAGGUGCUUAGGAAGAUUGACUCCUUGCGGCGUGCCUAUCUUUGGGCUGGUUCGGACAAGGUGUCCGGUGGCAAGUGUAAAAUCAACUGGGAGCUAGUCUGCAAGCCUAAGGAGUUUGGGGGCCUCAGAAUUCUUAACCUUGGGAAGUUCGCUACUGCGUUGCGCUUAAGAUGGUUGUGGCUUGAAUGGGAUGACCCUCCGAGAGCUUGGUUUGGCUUGGGAACUCCGUGCAACAACAAAGAUCGGGACAUCUUCGCGGCAGCCACUAAGGUUACUAUUGGUGAUGGCGCCACCGCGAGAUUCUGGGAGUCAUCUUGGCUGGAGGGGAUGAGGCCCAAAGCCAUUGCACCAAAAAAAUUCGAGAUCUCGUGA
This 441-nucleotide ribosomal RNA is filed under the name Triticum aestivum (bread wheat). Its description in RNAcentral is "partial small subunit ribosomal RNA". Lineage: Eukaryota; Viridiplantae; Streptophyta; Magnoliopsida; Poales; Poaceae. The record is from RNAcentral.